ACCUAGGUGGCGAAAUUGGUAGACGCACCAGCUUGAGGGGCUGGCGCCCGCAAGGGUGUGGGAGUUCGAAUCUCCUCUUAGGUACAA
Molecule: transfer RNA, 87 nt
Filed under: Sphingobacteriales bacterium
Lineage: Bacteria; Pseudomonadati; Bacteroidota; Sphingobacteriia; Sphingobacteriales
Description: tRNA-Leu
Rfam family: tRNA
About the family: Transfer RNA (tRNA) molecules are approximately 80 nucleotides in length. Their secondary structure includes four short double-helical elements and three loops (D, anti-codon, and T loops). Further hydrogen bonds mediate the characteristic L-shaped molecular structure. tRNAs have two regions of fundamental functional importance: the anti-codon, which is responsible for specific mRNA codon recognition, and the 3' end, to which the tRNAs corresponding amino acid is attached (by aminoacyl-tRNA synthetases). tRNAs cope with the degeneracy of the genetic code in two manners: having more than one tRNA (with a specific anti-codon) for a particular amino acid; and 'wobble' base-pairing, i.e. permitting non-standard base-pairing at the 3rd anti-codon position.
Source: RNAcentral